GAAAUGCGAUAAGUAAUGUGAAUUGCAGAAUUCAGUGAAUCAUCGAAUCUUUGAACGCACCUUGCGCUCCUUGGUAUUCCGAGGAGCAUGCCUGUUUGAGUGUCAUGAAAUUCUCAACCUCGACAUUUACUUGUCGUAGGCUUGGACUUGGAGGUUGCCGGCGAUUACGUCGGCUCUUCUUUAAAUGCAUUAGCUGGAACCGUCGCGAAAUCGGUCAAUCGGUGUGAUACUUUAUCUACGCCGUGGCUCAGUAGCGUCAUCGGAUCCGCUUCCAAUCGUCUUCGGACAACUAUUUUAAGAUCUGGCCUCAAAUCAGGUAGGACUACCCGCUGAACUUAA
Molecule: unclassified non-coding RNA, 339 nt
Filed under: uncultured Polyporales
Lineage: Eukaryota; Fungi; Basidiomycota; Agaricomycetes; Polyporales
Description: sequence contains ITS1
Rfam family: 5.8S ribosomal RNA (bases 1-105)
Source: RNAcentral